AACGUAGGUGGCAAGCGUUAUCCGGAUUCACUGGGUUUAAAGGGUGCGUAGGCGGACAGGUAAGUCAGUGGUGAAAUCUCCGAGCUUAACUCGGAAACUGCCUUUGAUACUCUCUGUCUUGAAUAUGGUGGAGGUAAGCGGAAUAUGUCAUGUAGCGGUGAAAUGCUUAGAGAUGACAUAGAACACCUAUUGCGAAGGCAGCUUACUACGCCUAUAUUGACGCUGAGGCACGAAAGCGUGGGGAUCAAACAGG
RNAcentral lists this ribosomal RNA (253 nucleotides) under uncultured bacterium. Its description in RNAcentral is "partial 16S ribosomal RNA". It matches the Rfam family "Bacterial small subunit ribosomal RNA", at positions 524 to 776 of the family's 1533-position model. The record is from RNAcentral.